ACCGGCGCACGGGUGAGUAACGCGUAUGCAACCUGCCUAUGACAGGGGGAUAGCUCCCGGAAACGGGGAUUAACACCGCAUGACACAACGGGGCCGCAUGGCCUUGUUGUCAAACAUUCAUGGGUCAUAGAUGGGCAUGCGUGGCAUUAGGUAGUUGGCGGGGUAACGGCCCACCAAGCCCACGAUGCCUAGGGGUUCUGAGAGGAAGGCCCCCCACACUGGUACUGAGACACGGACCAGACUCCUACGGGAGGCAGCAGUGAGGAAUAUUGGUCAAUGGGCGAGAGCCUGAACCAGCCAUGUCGCGUGCGGGACGACGGCCCUACGGGUUGUAAACCGCUUUUGUACGGGAAGAAAAACCCCGACGUGUCGGGGCUUGCCGGUACCGUACGAAUAAGGAUCGGCUAACUCCGUGCCAGCAGCCGCGGUAAUACGGAGGAUCCGAGCGUUAUCCGGAUUUAUUGGGUUUAAAGGGUGCGUAGGCGGGCUUUUAAGUCAGCGGUGAAAGUUUGGCGCUCAACGUUAAAAUUGCCGUUGAUACUGGGGGCCUUGAGUGCGGUUGAGGUAGGCGGAAUGUGGUGUGUAGCGGUGAAAUGCUUAGAUAUGCCACAGAACACCGAUUGCGAAGGCAGCUUACUAAAGCGCAACUGACGCUGAUGCACGAAAGCGCGGGGAUCGAACAGGAUUAGAUACCCUGGUAGUCCGCGCC
This 709-nucleotide ribosomal RNA is filed under the name uncultured bacterium. RNAcentral's name for it is "bacterial SSU rRNA". It matches the Rfam family "Bacterial small subunit ribosomal RNA", at positions 94 to 801 of the family's 1533-position model. The record is from RNAcentral.